RNAcentral lists this transfer RNA (62 nucleotides) under unidentified. RNAcentral's name for it is "Spelaeomysis bottazzii tRNA-Glu". The record is from RNAcentral.
AUUAUUAUAAUGUAAAUAACAUAUUAUAUUUUCAAUAUAAAAAUAAGAUAUCUUUAAUAAUG